Molecule: long non-coding RNA, 1284 nt
Filed under: Heterocephalus glaber (naked mole-rat)
Lineage: Eukaryota; Metazoa; Chordata; Mammalia; Rodentia; Bathyergidae
Description: lncRNA (ENSHGLG00000031260.2)
Source: RNAcentral
CCUUGAUGGCGGGUAGUGGUCCAGGUGUCAUGCUGUCUCAGCUCACCCUGGUUUCUGGGAACACAACAGAAGAGGACCUGCUUCGGUCUGGCUCCCCUGGGCCUUCCUUUCUUCCCCACGUCUCCCAGGAUACAGUCCAUGGCUCCCGGCCAGUGAGUUCUGCAUUGCCUACGGCUCCUGGUACUCAGCUGCUCUUGGCUUAGGGUGUUUGCCAAGGCUGAAUGGUUCCAUGGAAACAUACUACUGUAAAAGUCCAUCAUGACACGGGAACUUGCUCCAUGCUGUAGUGACAAGGCACAAUUCUUCAGCUCUCAGGAUGAUGACUGUACCAUGUAAAGAGGAACCUAGCACAGUGAUGGCCCCACGUCACAUGCCCUGGGGCACUCAGCCUCUGAUGGAAAUCUCUGGUCACCCCCCCCCCACCACCCCGCACCCCACCCCAGGUCAGGACUCUCAUCAUGGCCGUAGGUUUCUGCAGGUCUCUUCUGCUCCUCCCUGGAUAGGGACUGCAUGGGUGGGAGAGACAUGGUGCGUCGUCAUUAACACUCAAAGCUAUUUUGAUUUGGUUACAAGAUUUACAACUCCUCUGAAUCCAAAAAGGACUAGAAGCUUGCAUUACCAAUUUAUACAUAUAGAAGAACAAAUAAAAUUUAAAUUAAGCCUGAGCAAUAAUGACAAAAGACAGAAGGAUCAAUUGUUCAUUUGACUAAGAUACUAAGAUAGCCAGGCAUGGUGGCACAUACCUGUUAUCCCAGCCUCCAGGAGGCUGAUGCAGGAGAAUUAUCAUUUGAGGCCAGCCUAACCUACAUAGUGAGACCCCGUCUCAAAAAACAAAAACAAAAACACACAUAAUUUCGAGCUCCUGGUCCCAAGCCCAAGGCACAAGAAACUGUAUCAUGCUGUUCUAUUGUCUCACAGAGGUUGGGAUUCUCAGGUAGACGGGACAGAGUGCUCUGUUUGAGCAGGAAGGAUUCCCUUAGAUCCCUGGGAAGGGGCCUCCUGCUGCAGAGUAAGCAGUGGUGCAGAGGAGAGGCCUUCUAGAAGGAUUCAGCGGCCACUCUGCCUCCAGGUUUCUUAUUUACAUAUCUCUUCUUCCCCACUCCCAGGGCCCCGACUUGGUGUUUACCAGUGAAUUCAUUGUGAAAGUGCAGCUCCAGUCACCUCUGGAACCUGCAGAUGGCAUAAUUAGGGAGCAGGGCACUGAUGGUGUUAGUGGACAGCACUGAGCGAGGUCACGCUUGUGUGCAUCAUUACCCCCACUGUGUCUGCACCCCUCCUCAUGAU